Molecule: signal recognition particle RNA, 98 nt
Filed under: Deltaproteobacteria bacterium
Lineage: Bacteria; Pseudomonadati; Myxococcota; Myxococcia
Description: signal recognition particle sRNA small type
Rfam family: Bacterial small signal recognition particle RNA
About the family: The signal recognition particle (SRP) is a universally conserved ribonucleoprotein involved in the co-translational targeting of proteins to membranes.
Source: RNAcentral
AGCCUGGUCCUGUGCAAUGAGGGAUCGUAAACCCCGUCAGGUCCGGAAGGAAGCAGCGGUAGCGGUUUUCUUGUGUGCCGCAGGAGUGCCUGGCUGUC